This is a long non-coding RNA of Strigops habroptila (Kakapo), 1694 nucleotides long. NCBI's taxonomy places the organism in Eukaryota, Metazoa, Chordata, Aves, Psittaciformes, Psittacidae. The record is from Ensembl.
GGCAGGAAACAUUCGCCCUCCUCCUGCCCGACCUGCCCCCAUCCGCCCGUAUCCAGCCCCGCCGACCCCCGGCUCCUACCCCCCCCCCCCCCGCUAUAUUUUAAUACCGGUUUUCGUUGGCGGGACACCCCACCACCCCCCCCUUGCCCUUCUUUUUCGGUUUGAGAUGCGAGCCGGGAAGGAGCGAGGCUCCGGGGGCCGUUCUUUGAAAGCAUCAGGGCGUUAAUGCAGCUUUAAACGUUAAGUCGCUCGAUUAAUUGUUUUCUUACGUCCAGUCUAAGGGCGAUCGGCUCCUUCCCGCGCCGUCGCGGUCGCUGCUGGGGCUGCCGUGCCCAGGAGGGCGAGCCCCAGGUUUGCUGCUCGCUGGGGGCAGGCGGAGGUUUCCUCUCCUUCAAAUUGCCGCGAUGAAGUUAGCAAAAAUUACCGGCGAUGCCGUUUGCACUGCACCUAACCUAAAUAAACCCGCGACAGUUAUCGUGUUUUAAUGAACCCCUCGCAACCAGCAACUGCUGGAAGGAAAGUUGCAGCUACAGCACGAGUUCCAAAGGCAGCCACAAGCCAUGGCUGUGAGGAUUGCUCACCAAAAGCCCUUCAGAGAACUGAGAAACUCGGAGUGCUAAUGCCCUUAUGGGAGGCCAAGCGAUGGGAAUUGCUGAUGGAGUCCAUGGGCAACGAACGUGUGUUAAGUUGUAAACAAGCAUGAAUAUUUAUUAUGCUUCUGUAGUAUAUUCAGCUGAGAACUUGCCUUAUGUAUCACUAGAGGAUUUGGCUCAGGGUCUGUGUUCUUUAUUUCCAUAUGUUCACAUUUGAGCAUGCAGGUGAAACCGACUACAGCUUUGGCUAGCAGAGAUUGAAAAAUCAUUGAGCCUUGCCUCAGCUCUGUGUGUGUGUCCCAUGCUUGCUGCAAAUGAUUAUGAUGCUGCAGAGCUUGUCCUUUUCCAGGUGAAGCCAGUUAGUUGAGAAGAGUGGUAACUUCCCGAACAACAAACGUGCAGUCGAUAUGUUUGGGUUUCCCAGAUAACCCUUUCCACUAGCUCCCUCGGUAGAAACCGUCAUCUUGUGUGUUCAGAAAUAUUUUAAUUGGGCAGAAAUUCCCAGAUGCAUGUCUCUAGGCAUACCUGACACCCCUGCCUUCCUCAGUGACAGCUGUUUGCUUUCCAGCUAACCGGCUGAAGAGGGGAAUUCUGCCCAUCCACGCUUCAAACGGCUCCAAAGGGUUCAUGAGGCUACCUAUACGCUGCGGAAGGUCCUUUUUGCUGACAGGAUCCACUGUAUUUGUGCCAAAGCUCCUGAAGCUCGUUUGCAGCUUAGACCCUCCCUGAGCUUGUAAAAGGCCAUAAGCAAUUCACUGUCCCUGAACAGUGCGUCCUUAUUCCCCAGCUGUCAUCCUCAUACUUGAGCACCUCUGUCUUCCUAAAUCAAAGUCCUCCUUUUCUUGUCCCUCCACCACUGUUGAAGGAAUGAAACAUUUUGAGGCUUCCUCUGAUUAUGGAUGUUUUUUGUCCUAAUUGUGAAAAAUGCUGAAAUAAAGCUAAAGGGAAUAUGCCAGUACUGUACUCCGUUCUGAAACAUUAGCUGCUGGAGCACUUGUGUGCUCAACUACACAGCAGAUAGCACUUUUGUGCAUUUUUCUGCUUACUGCAUUGACUGGAUGAUUUUUGAUCCAAUUAACUUGUUCUGCUAUAAAAAAAAAA